RNAcentral lists this ribosomal RNA (468 nucleotides) under uncultured bacterium. RNAcentral describes it as "partial 16S ribosomal RNA". It matches the Rfam family "Bacterial small subunit ribosomal RNA", at positions 28 to 507 of the family's 1533-position model. The record is from RNAcentral.
GACGAACGCUGGCGGCGUGCUUAACACAUGCAAGUCGAACGGAAAGGCCCUGCUUUUGUGGGGUGCUCGAGUGGCGAACGGGUGAGUAACACGUGAGUAACCUGCCCUUGACUUUGGGAUAACUUCAGGAAACUGGGGCUAAUACCGGAUAGGAGCUCCUGCUGCAUGGUGGGGGUUGGAAAGUUUCGGCGGUUGGGGAUGGACUCGCGGCUUAUCAGCUUGUUGGUGGGGUAGUGGCUUACCAAGGCUUUGACGGGUAGCCGGCCUGAGAGGGUGACCGGCCACAUUGGGACUGAGAGACGGCCCAGACUCCUACGGGAGGCAGCAGUGGGGAAUAUUGCACAAUGGGCGGAAGCCUGAUGCAGCAACGCCGCGUGCGGGAUGACGGCCUUCGGGUUGUAAACCGCUUUCGCCUGCGACGAAGCGUGAGUGACGGUAAUGGGUAAAGAAGCACCGGCUAACUACGUG